This is a long non-coding RNA of Amblyraja radiata (thorny skate), 298 nucleotides long. RefSeq lists it as uncharacterized. NCBI's taxonomy places the organism in Eukaryota, Metazoa, Chordata, Chondrichthyes, Rajiformes, Rajidae. The record is from RefSeq and is a predicted model, not a curated record. The transcript has 3 exons.
UUCUGUUUUAUUCAUUUCAGGAGGAAACCUCUCGGAAAAGCAGCCUCAACGAAACAGGUCAGAAAGUGUCGGUGACUGGAGGCAGCCUCUCGAUGGGACAUUUCAACUGCACUUUACCGUUUGCAGUGUGGAGAGAAUAUAUUGACACUGUUAAAUCUGACUCUGUGACCCUGGAUGAGGAUAGCGCGCAUCCGGAGCUCGAGGUGUCCGGCAGCCUGAUGAAUGUGAGAUUGACCGGGGUCAGGAGAAGCCUCCGCAACAACAGGAAGAGGUUUAUGGAAUGUCUCAAUGCGCUGUG